GAUGAACGCUGGCGGCGUGCCUAAUACAUGCAAGUCGAGCGAACGGACGAGAAGCUUGCUUCUCUGAUGUUAGCGGCGGACGGGUGAGUAACACGUGGAUAACCUACCUAUAAGACUGGGAUAACUUCGGGAAACCGGAGCUAAUACCGGAUAAUAUUUUGAACCGCAUGGUUCAAAAGUGAAAGACGGUCUUGCUGUCACUUAUAGAUGGAUCCGCGCUGCAUUAGCUAGUUGGUAAGGUAACGGCUUACCAAGGCAACGAUGCAUAGCCGACCUGAGAGGGUGAGCGGCCACACUGGAACUUAGACACGGUCCAGACUCCUACGGGAGGCAGCAGUAGGGAAUCUUCCGCAAUGGGCGAAAGCCUGACGGAGCAACGCCGCGUGAGUGAUGAAGGUCUUCGGAUCGUAAAACUCUGUUAUUAGGGAAGAACAUAUGUGUAAGUAACUGUGCACAUCUUGACGGUACCUAAUCAGAAAGCCACGGCUAACUACGUG
Molecule: ribosomal RNA, 497 nt
Filed under: uncultured bacterium
Lineage: Bacteria
Description: partial 16S ribosomal RNA
Rfam family: Bacterial small subunit ribosomal RNA
Source: RNAcentral